RNAcentral lists this ribosomal RNA (487 nucleotides) under uncultured Lachnospiraceae bacterium. Its description in RNAcentral is "partial 16S ribosomal RNA". Lineage: Bacteria; Bacillati; Bacillota; Clostridia; Lachnospirales; Lachnospiraceae. The record is from RNAcentral.
CACGUAGUUAGCCGGGGCUUCUUAGUCAGGUACCGUCAUCUUCUUCCCUGCUGAUAGAGCUUUACAUACCGAAAUACUUCUUCACUCACGCGGCGUCGCUGCAUCAGGGUUCCCCCCAUUGUGCAAUAUUCCCCACUGCUGCCUCCCGUAGGAGUUUGGGCCGUGUCUCAGCCCCAAUGUGGCCGGUCGCCCUCUCAGGCCGGCUACUGAUCGUCGCCUUGGUGGGCCGCUGCCCCGCCAACUAGCUAAUCAGGCGCGGAUCCAUCUUAUACCACCGGAGUUUUUCACACUGCGCCAUGCGGCGCCGUGCGCUUAUGCGGUAUUAGCAGCCAUUUCUGGCUGUUAUCCCCCAGUAUAAGGCAGGUUAUCCACGUGUUACUCACCCGUCCGCCGCUAAGACAAUCCUGAUUCCAUCCGAAAACUUCAUCAAGACCGCUCCGCUCGACUUGCAUGUGUUAGGCACGCCGCCAGCGUUCAUCCUGAGCCA